Long non-coding RNA from Chiroxiphia lanceolata (lance-tailed manakin), 2450 nucleotides. RefSeq lists it as uncharacterized. The transcript has 2 exons. NCBI's taxonomy places the organism in Eukaryota, Metazoa, Chordata, Aves, Passeriformes, Pipridae. The record is from RefSeq and is a predicted model, not a curated record.
GAACAGGCUCGCGCCUGGGGAAGGUAAAAGGCAGUGGAUCUUUCACAUGGCUUUUUUUUUUCCCUCUCUCGCUCCAUCUCCCCUCCCCUCCUCCAGUCUGUUGCACGGGAGCUGUCGGCCAUGCUGUUCCAGUUCAGGGGCUCCUGCAACAGAAAAGAUCAGCUGUUGGAGAACCCAUGGAAAGCCCUGGGGGAGAGCCAUGGCCGCAAGAGGACCAGGCAAUUCUAGGCACAACUCUAGCAGAUGGUUUUGGUGAUGGAAAGCACAAGGGGAUCGCUCCCAGGAGCUGCUCAGGCAGUUAAGUCAAAAAUGAACUGAUGCAUGUAGCAAACCACGGCCCUGGCCCAGCCAACUCCAGACACUUCCGUCUGCACAGGCAGCCUGUACUGCCCCCAUUUAUACACCCAGCUUUCUCUGCCUUUAAUCAGAAAGUCUUCUGGAAGGAGGGAUUGGCCCUUUCCUGAGCUCCCUGAGCCAGUUCGUGUCAGAGAAAACAGCGUGUGAACUCCUUCAUUCCAGCCAUAUCUCUGCUGGUCCUGCCCAUCACAGCAUCACCCUGACACCCCACCCUGAUGCAAACCUGAUCGUGCUGGAGACCAGGAGAUUAUUUUUUUUAAUGUUUACACAUUUUAAUGUAAAACCUUCACCUUUUGUCCAUGGCAAAUAUUGCCAAAGUCGUGAAGUAAGAAAAGCAAAUUCGUAUUUUGUCAAUAUUAGCCCAAUAAACAAAAUUUGAGAAUUAAAUGCAUUCUGUGCUUAGCAAAUGAAAGUUAAUUUCUGUUACGUGAGAACUGACUUUCUUAACAACAUUUUCCUUGCUUUAGUGAAAUAAUCUAGAGGUAUAUUAGGAAAUACAAAUAUUUUUCAGGAGAACUAUACAUAAUUUAUAGAGAAGCAGAUCUGAAUCAGCUAUAGCAUUGCCCUGAGCCUUCCUACAGUCCACAGGUCUGGAUCUCAGCUGUGCACAUGGAUCUGCUCCCUCUCUCUGAUGGAAACCUCUCCCAGAAACAGUUAAACACAAGAAACCAGAAAUGAUCCAUAAAUUAGGUCUGGCUAUAGGUUCAAAAUCAUAAGUUAUGGCCUAUUGACCUCAUACUCUGAGGGGAAAUCAGAAGCAUUUUUCUAAAGAGCCACCACUGGAGGAAGGGAGGUUUAAUAUAUGGCACAGCAGAGCCCUGCUGCAAAUAAAUACAGCACUGCAUAAUUGCAGGGAAAAUCAAUAAAUAGCAUGGUGGUUAAAAUAAAGAUAUGCAUAUUGAGGGUUUGGGUUUAUAGGUGUGAAUGAUUGUUUCCCCAGAAGCAGAGGAAGACUUUUUCCAGCAUUAAAGCCUCUAAAUACGGCAGAGGCAAUGGCUCCUCCACUAUCCCUUUCACAAGGAGCAAGUUUCAGCUAUUGUCUUUCUCAGAGCAGCUAUCUGGAGUCGUCAUUAUUAGCAUAAUUAAUAAGUGCAGUUUGCUCAUUUGAAAAAUCCCGGCGACUUUUGCCGCUCGGGCGUCACGUCAGCGCAAGACACAAAAAAAUCGCUGUGACAACUGUUUUGCAAGUUCAGGUUUUAUUGACGAGCACCACAAAGAGAUGAAGCCCAGAGCAAGUCCCUUUUCACUUUAAUAUUUAAAUCUCUUUUAAGAGGACGUCAAUAUUAACUCCCGUAACUGAUGCUGACAGGUGACUGUCUGACCAUAAAAAAGACAAGCGAUAGAAUUUAAAAAAAAAAAAUCUAAUAAUGACAACCAUGACGUGCUGGUCAGUGCAGUGAAGGACAGUGGGAUGAGGGAUUGAGGUGUCCUGCAUCCCUUAUCUGUCGAAGUGGACCUGGUGAUGCACCCAGGAAUGGAUGAGACCCUUUGGCCUCAGCUGAUUUUGUUCCCCCAGGUAAAUCCCUGAAUGUCCUGGAUGAGAAACCCAUCCUUGCUCAACCUCAAGACCAGCCAAUGCUUUUAAUAAAUAAAUACCAAUUGUAGCUAGUUAACCUCAGGAUUUCCAGCAUUAAAGAGAUUUCCCACAGGAACCAGAGAGCACUAGAGGAACGGAUAAAUGCAAAGUUCAUGGGAAAGAGCACACGGCCCUUCGCAAAUCCCGAUGUGUGGGGAAAAUACCCAGCAAGUGACUGUGAGACAGGCUCCAAAAAUAGUGAUUUAUUGGACAGAGCUUUCUGAUUUUCAUUGAUCCUGUUCUGAGAAAUGGGUGCAUUGUUUCCACUAAAAUCUGGUCUAAAAGUUGUCAAAAUUUGGAACAAUGUGAAACCAAAUUUUAAUGUAAAGAGUUACAUGACCUCAGUAUGGUUAUUAUUGCUGCUCCAUCUAUAAUCCAGCCAGAAGGGAUUGUUCAGUAGAUCCUCUCCAUUUAUUUAAAUGGAGAUAUAUAGUUUUGCUGCAUUUGAGUUCUAUGCAGAAUAUGUCAUAAAACCAAAACUAGCGUGAUAAUGUGGUUAUUAAAGCUGAUAAAAGUA